AAACGUUGAAAAAAAUUUUUAAAAAGAAGAAGGUUUGGCUUUUAAAAUGUCAACAGAAGUGGCUUCUGCCUACCAAGAGGCAGUAGAUGAGUUCCUAGACACCAUUAAUGAAAUCAUUGAGAAGAAAGAAUGUCAGUGAAACUUUUUAAUAAGAAGUGCCCCAUUCUGCAGGGGCGGGAAUCCACAUUAUUAGGAAGAGAAUCGAGCACCAGGAUUUAAGGCAUGAAAGGAUAGGCUAACUAUGUUUUGGGCAAAUGUAGUUGGGUUCAUGAUCAGGACUGCCCUUACCUAUAAACUGCUAACCUUCAUUGUUUUUUUAAAUGUUUGUUUAUUUUUGAGAGAGAAAGUGUGAGCAGGCAAGAGGCAAAGGGAGAAGGAGACACAGAAUCCGAAGCAGGCUCCAGGCUCUGAGCUGUCAGCACAGAGCCCGAAAGGGGGCUCGAACUCACGAACCCGAGAUCAUGACCUGAGCCGAAGUCGGAUACUUAACCAACUGAGCCACCCAGACACCCCAAAGCUGCUAGCCUUUGAAAAGCUAUUUAGCAGCUGCCAUUCUUUUGGUUGUACAGCAAGAAGGUCUGGAUCCCCCCUUUUUUAAAAAAAAACUUCUUUUAUUGGUUCCAACAGUACUUUGUCCCUGAAGUCAGGAAACACCUUGCAACUAAGGAAACUUCCUUUUAAAGUUCUUUAGAGGGACACCUGGCUGGCUCAGUCAGUGAAGCGUCCAACUUCAGCUCAGGUCAUGAUCUCACAGCUCCUGAGUUCCAGCCCUGCAUUGGGCUCUGUGCUGACAGCUGGACCCUGGAGCCUUUAUCAGAUUCUUUUUUUUUUUUUUUUAAUGUUUAUUUAUUUUUGAGAGAGAGAGAGAGAGUGCAAGCUUGGGAGGCGCAGAGAGAGAGAGAGAGGGAGACACAAGAAUCCAAAGCAGUCUCCAGGCUCCAAGCCGUCAGCACAGAGCCCAACGGAGGGGCUUGAACUCACGAAACGUGAGAUCCUGACCUGAGCCAAAGCCUGACACUCAACUGACUGAGCCACCCAGGUGUCCCAAGAUUCUGUGUCUCCCUCUCUCUCUGCCCCUCCCCAGCUCAUGCUCUGUCUCUAUCUCUCUCAAAAAUAAAAACAUUUAAAAAUUUUUUUAAGUUCUUUUUUUUUUAAUUUUUUUAAUGUUUAUUUAUUUUUGAGAGACAGAGCACAAGUGGGGAAGGAGCAGAGAGAGGGAGACACAGAAUCCAAAGCAGGCUCCAGGCUCCUAGCUAUCAGCACAGAGCCCAAUGCAGGGCUCACGAACCAUGAGAUCAUGACGUGAACCAAAGUCAGCACUUAACCGACUGAGCCACCCAGGCACCCCUUAAGUUCUUUUGAUACUGGACAAUGUCCCUGGCCAUCCAGAACCCCAUGAGUUCAACACUGAAGGUGUCUAAGUGGUCUUUUUUCCCCCAAACACAGCAACAUCUAGAUCACAAGGACCUUUAAGGCUCAUUGCACAUGGUACUCUAUGGAAAGGAUUGUCAGCUAUGGGAGAGUCCUCCAAGAACAGAAUAAAAGUCUGGAAGGAUUACACCCCUGAAGGUGCCAUUGCUGUUAUAGAAAAAGCUGUGAAAGCCAUCAAUCCUGAAACAAUACAUUCCUGCUGGAGAACCUGUGUAUCAGCCUAUCAUCACAGGGAAGUAAUUUUCCAAAAAAUGUAAUAAUGUUUCCAAUACUGUAUUAUGGAUAUGACUGUAAUACUCUAUGUCAUAAGAAUUUUAUAACAAUUUAUUCAGUAAUAUACAGGCUAAGCUGCCAUGAAACAAUCACACUGGGCUACCAAUAAAGCCAUCAUAUUGCUGCUUUUUUGUUUUCAGUGCAUGAUUUGUAAUACCUGUAAAUAAAUGUACAUUUUUUUUCACAUUUCGUUUUUGAGAUAUGUUAGUAAAGCAUAUAGCAUCACAGUGUUUUGUAUCCUAUAAGACAAUAUUGACAGGUACUGACAAAUGAUUUAUCUUGUAAACAGACCAUGUAAACUUACAGUAUCAGUAAUUUUAGUUCUGUAAACGUAUUUUCUCUUAUGAUUUUCUUAACACUUAAUUUUCUCUAGCUUACUUUAUUAUAAGGAUAUAGUAUAUAGUAUAAUAUACAAAAUAUGUGUUCAUCAACUGUUAAUGUUAUCAGUAAGGCUUCUGGUCAACAGUAGGCUAUUACUAGUUAAGUUCUUGGGAGGUCAAAAGUUAUAUGUGGAUUUUUGAUUGGGGGGGCAAUACCCUUAACAUCCACAUUGUUCAAGGUUCAACUGUAUAAAUGAUAUAAAUAUUUGUAUAUUACAUGUUAUAGUAUAUUAUAUGUAUUAUAAUAUUAUAUAUAACAUGUAAUAGAUUCAUAUUAUACCCAAAGGAAUGAGCAAAGCUACGUAAUAAUUAUAAUUAUUAUAACAUAUUAUAUUACAAACUGACCUUCUAUCCAGUGACCUUGAUAAAUUCACUUGUUAAUUAUAAUUAAGUUUAUUUUAUUGGACUUUGUAUACAAAAUGUCAUCUGCAAUAAAGUAAAAUUUUUUACUUCAUCCCUCCAAUUUUUAUACCAUUUUUUUUUCUUGCUUUUUUGCACUGGCCAAGGCCUCCAGAAGUAGUGAUUGUGGGCAUCUCUGCGUUUUUCCCAGAAUCUAAAAGAAAACCCUAGACGUUUUACCAUUAGGUGUGACAUGAAGUGUAAAUUUGUAGAUAAUUUCUAUCAGAUUAAGAAAACUUUCCUCCAAUCUUAGUUUGCUGAGAUUUGUUAUCAUGGGGAGGGGUUAAAUUUCACUAAAUACAUAUUUUGCAUCUAUUGAGAUGAUAUAUGGUUUUCUCAUUCUGUUAAUGUGCUUGAGUUAUAUGGAUUGAUUUUUUUUAAUUAAAAAAAUUGUGAAAUGCACACAACAUAAAAUUUACCAUCUCAACUUUUUUUUUUUUAACGUUUUAUUUAUUUUUGAGACAGAGAGAGACAGAGCAUGAACAGGGGAGGGGCAGAGAGAGAGGGAGACACAGAAUCUGAAGCAGGCUCCGGGCUCUGAGCCAUCAGCCCAGAGCCCGACGCGGGGCUCGAACUCACGGACCGUGAGAUCGUGACCUGAGCCGAAGUCAGCCGCUUAACCGACUGAGCCACCCAGGCACCCCUCAACUAUUUUUAAGUAUAUAGUUCAAUGAAAUUAAGUGCAUUCAUAUUGUGCAACCAUCACCAUGAUCCGUAUCCAAAACCUUUUAUCUUUCAAAGCUGAAACUCAAUACCCAUUACACAAUAAUCCUCUGUGCCCCCUCCCCUCAGUCUCCGGAAACUACUGUUCUAUUUUAAUUAUUUUGAAUUGGACUACAUUAGGAACCUCAUAUAAAUUUUUGUUCUUUCGUGACUGGCCUUAUUUCACUUAGCAUAAUGUUCUCAAAGUUUGUCCAAUGGAUUGAUUUUUGAAUGUUAAGGCAAUCUUCCAUUCCUGGAAGAGAUACCAUUUAGUCAUUGUAUAUUAUCUUUUUAAUAUAUUAUUGGCACCUGGGUGGCUCAGUUUGUUAAGCAUCCAACUUCGGCUCAGGCCAUGAUCUCACCAUCCGUGGGUUCGAGCCCCGCGUCAGGCCCUGUGCUGACAGCUCGGAGCCUGGAGCCUGCUUCGGAUUCUGUGUCUUCCUCUCUCUCUGCCCCUCCCUUGCUCAAAAAUAAGCAUUUAAAAAAAUUAAAAUAUAUAUGUAUAUAUUAUUGAAUUAGAUUUUUAAGUUUUUAUAUAGGAUCUUAUGUCUACGUCCUUGUUGUUUUGUAUGUUUCCUUUCUUGUAGUAGCUUUGUCAGAGAUUAGUAUCAGAAUAAUGCUGGUCUUAUAAAAUUAAUUGGGAAUCACUUCCCUUUUUUGUCCCCCAGAAGAGUUUGUGUAAGACUGUGCAUUAUUAGUAUUGGUAUUCUUUUUCCCAUAAAUAUUUUCUGUAAAAAUCAUCAGUAAAGCCAUCUGGGCUAGGAAUUUUCUAUUUAGGAAAGUUUUAUGUUUUUAUUUUUAUUUAAAAAAAUUUUUUUUAAGUUUAUUUAUUUGAGAGAGAGAGACAGAGUGAGCAGGGGAGGGGCAGAGAGGGAGGGAGCGAGAGAGUCCCAAGCAGGCUGUUUACUGUCAGCAUGGAGCCCAACACGGGGCUUGAACUCCUGAACCAUGAGUUCAUGACCUGAGCCGAAACCAAGAGUCAGAUGCCUAACCAACUGAGCCACCCAGAUGUCCCUGUGUAGAAAAAAUUUCAAUUAUACAUUCAAUUCCUUUGAUAGACAUAGGACUAUUGAUAUUUUCUGUCUCUUGUGUCAUUUUUGGUAAAUAUCAUUUCAUCUCCAUAUCAUUUCAUUGAAAUAUCUAAUUAUUAGCUUUAAAUAGUUUAUAUCUGCUUGUUAUAUUUUUAAUAUCAGUAGAAUCUAAAGUGAUAUUCUCUUUUCUGUCUCAGCAUUGGUAAUCUGUGAGGUCUCUUUGUUUUCUUGAUUAGGCAUUCUAGGGAUUUAACACUUUAUUAAUCUUUUCAAAAGGUCACCUCUUAACUACUAUAUAAUUGAUUUCUUUUUCAGUGGUUCAUGCUCUUUUCUAAAAACAACCUAAUUCAAGUGAGCAAAACUUGCAAAUAUUUCACAAAAGAGAAAUAUCAAUGACCAUUAAACACACGAGCCUUUCUAUUUUAUUUGAGUUUAAUCCACUGGGGUUUUUUUCUAGCGUCUUGAAAUUUAAGUCUUAGAUAAUUGAUUUUUUCCAACCUUUCUUUUUGGCUAAUAUUUUCAUUUAACAAUCUAAAUUUCUCUAUAUGCAUCCAUUUCACUGCAUCUGGUAGAGGUUUUUAUCACCUUUAUUGAAUCAUAAUUAUACAUAUAAUAAGUUGCACUAAAUUUAACUUUACAUUUUGAUGAGUUGGGGUAAAUACACACUUUAAUAUAACUACCACUAAAAUCAAGAAAUAUAACAUUUUCAUCACCCCAAAAAUGUUCUAUAUCCCUUUCCAGACGAUUCUCCCCACCUGACUCCAAGAAACCAUUAAUCUGCUUUCUGUCACUAUAUGUGAGAACUGUCUUUACGAGAAUUUUAUACCAGUGGAAUUACAUUGUAUAUACUGUUCUGUGCCCACUUCCUUUCACUCAGCUUAAAUUUUGAGAUUUAUUUAUGUUGUGUAUGUCAAUAUUUCAUCCCCCUUUAUUGAUGAAUGGAAUCCCAUUGUAUUAAUAUGUCACUAUUUAUUUAUUUACCCAUUGAUGAACAUUUGGAUUGUUUCCACCUUGGAGCUACUAUGAAUAAACCUGCUAUGAACACUCAUGUAUAAGUUUUUGUGUAAA
Acinonyx jubatus (cheetah) is the source of this 5284-nucleotide long non-coding RNA. RefSeq lists it as uncharacterized. The transcript is spliced from 2 exons. The record is from RefSeq and is a predicted model, not a curated record. Lineage: Eukaryota; Metazoa; Chordata; Mammalia; Carnivora; Felidae.